Molecule: long non-coding RNA, 132 nt
Organism: Otolemur garnettii (small-eared galago)
Lineage: Eukaryota; Metazoa; Chordata; Mammalia; Primates; Galagidae
Exons: 3
Source: RefSeq, a predicted model, not a curated record
UCAGACCUGUGCUCUUUCAAUCCCUUUGUGACUUCGGACCGAAGCAAGAACCACAAAAGACAUUUCAAUGCACCUUCCCACAUUCGCAGGAAGAUUAUGUCUUCCCCUCUUUCCAAAGAGCUGAGACAGAAG